This 253-nucleotide ribosomal RNA is filed under the name uncultured bacterium. Its description in RNAcentral is "partial 16S ribosomal RNA". It matches the Rfam family "Bacterial small subunit ribosomal RNA", at positions 524 to 776 of the family's 1533-position model. The record is from RNAcentral.
GACAGAGGGUGCAAACGUUGUUCGGAAUUACUGGGCGUAAAGCGCGUGUAGGCGGCGAUGCAAGUCGGAUGUGAAAGCCCUCGGCUCAACCGGGGAAGUGCACUCGAAACUGCAACGCUAGAGUCUCGGAGAGGAUCGUGGAAUUCUCGGUGUAGAGGUGAAAUUCGUAGAUAUUGGGAAGAACACCAGUGGCGAAGGCGGCUAACUGGUCCGGUACUGACGCUGAGGUGCGAAAGCGUGGGGAGCAAACAGG